RNAcentral lists this ribosomal RNA (1373 nucleotides) under Paraburkholderia phymatum. RNAcentral's name for it is "bacterial SSU rRNA". It matches the Rfam family "Bacterial small subunit ribosomal RNA". The record is from RNAcentral. Lineage: Bacteria; Pseudomonadati; Pseudomonadota; Betaproteobacteria; Burkholderiales; Burkholderiaceae.
CCAGUCGGACCGCAGCACGGGAGCAAUCCUGGUGGCGAGUGGCGAACGGGUGAGUAAUACAUCGGAAUGUCCUGGAGUGGGGGAUAGCCCGGCGAAAGCCGGAACCGCAUACGCUCUGUGGAGGAAAGCGGGGGAUCUUCGGACCUCGCGCUCAAGGCGGCCGAUGGCAGAUUGCUAGAUGGUGGGGUAAAGGCCUACCAAGACGAUCUGUAGCUGGUGAGAGGACGACCAGCCACACUGGGACUGAGACACGGCCCAGACUCCUACGGGAGGCAGCAGUGGGGAAUUUUGGACAAUGGGGGCAACCCUGAUCCAGCAAUGCCGGUGUGUGAAGAAGGCCUUCGGGUUGUUAAGCACUUUUGUCCGGAAAGAAAACUUCGCUCCUAAUACGGGUGGAGGAUGACGGUACCGGAAGAAUAAGCACCGGCUAACUACCUGCCAGCAGCCGCGGUAAUACGUAGGGUGCGAGCGUUAAUCGGAAUUAAUGGGCGUAAAGCGUGCGCAGGCGGUUCGCUAAGACCGAUGUGAAAUCCCCGGGCUUAACCUGGGAACUGCAUUGGUGAGGCGGGCUAGAGUAUGGCAGAGGGGGGUAGAAUUCCACGUGUAGCAGUGAAAUGCGUAGAGAUGUGGAGGAUACCGAUGGCGAAGGCAGCCCCCUGGGCCAAUACUGACGCUCAUGGACGAAAGCGUGGGGAGCAAACAGGAUAGAUACCCUGGUAGUCCACGCCCUAAACGAUGUCAACUAGUUGUCGGGUCUUCAUUGACUUUAACGUAGCUAACGCGUGAAGUUGACCGCCUGGGGAGUACGGUCGCAAGAUUAAAUCAAAGGAAUUGACGGGGACCCGCACAAGCGGUGGAUGAUUCGGAUUAAUUCGAUCACGCGAAAACCUUACCUACCCUUGACAUGUACGGAACCUUGCUGAGAGGUGAGGGUGCCCGAAAGGGAGCCGUAACACAGUGCUGCAUGGCUGUCGUCCUCGUGUCGUGAGAUGUUGGGUUAAGUCCCGAACGAGCGCAACCCUUGUCCCUAGUUGCUACGCAAGAGCACUCUAGGGAGACUGCCGGUGACAAACCGGAGGAAGGUGGGGAUGACGUCAAGUCCUCAUGGCCCUUAUGGGUAGGGCUUCACACGUCAUACAAUGCUCGGAACAGAGGGUUGCCAAGCCGCGAGGUGGAGCCAAUCCCAGAAAACCGAUCGUAGUCCGGAUCGCAGUCUGCAACUCGACUGCGUGAAGCGGAAUCGCUAGUAAUCGCGGAUCAGCAUGCCGCGGUGAAUACGUUCCCGGGUCUUGUACACCCGCCCGUCACACCAUGGGAGGGUUUUACCAGAAGUGGCGUCUAACCGCAAGAGGACGGUCACCACGUAGGAUUCA